CAAUAGCGUAUAUUAAAGUUGUUGCAGUUAAAAAGCUCGUAGUUGAAUUUCGGGUCCCCGCGCUCGGCGCUUCAUUGUGCCGUCGUGGUGUCCCUCCUCGCCGUAAGGCGUCCUUUACUGUGAAAAAAUUAGAGUGUUCAAAGCAGGCAAUCGCUUGAAUACAUUAGCAUGGAAUAAUAAGAUAGGAUCUUGUCUAUUUUGUUGGUUGCGGACAACGAUAAUGAUUAAUAGGGAUAGUUGGGGGUGUCCGUAUUGAGCUGUCAGAGGUGAAAUUCCUGGAUUUGCUCAAGACGAACUACUGCGAAAGCAUUCACCAAGGAUGUUUUCAUUAA
RNAcentral lists this ribosomal RNA (332 nucleotides) under uncultured eukaryote. RNAcentral's name for it is "partial 18S ribosomal RNA". It matches the Rfam family "Eukaryotic small subunit ribosomal RNA", at positions 592 to 976 of the family's 1831-position model. The record is from RNAcentral.